GGGGGAGUAGUUCAAUUUGCCGAUAGUAGAACGUCCGUUUAGCAAACGGAAGGGUGGGGGUGCGAGUCCCUCCUCCACCA
RNAcentral lists this transfer RNA (80 nucleotides) under candidate division MSBL1 archaeon SCGC-AAA259M10. RNAcentral's name for it is "candidate divison MSBL1 archaeon SCGC-AAA259M10 tRNA". It matches the Rfam family "tRNA". From Rfam's summary of the family: Transfer RNA (tRNA) molecules are approximately 80 nucleotides in length. Their secondary structure includes four short double-helical elements and three loops (D, anti-codon, and T loops). The record is from Rfam by way of RNAcentral. Lineage: Archaea; Methanobacteriati; Methanobacteriota.